CCUACGGGAGGCAGCAGUAGGGAAUAUUGCUCAAUGGGGGAAACCCUGAAGCAGCAACGCCGCGUGGAGGAUGAAGGUUUUCGGAGUGUAAACUCCUGUUGUUAGAGAAGAUAAUGACGGUAGCUAACGAAUAAGAACCGGCUAACGCCGUGCCAGCAGCCGCGGUAAUACGGAGGGUGCAAGCGUUACUCGGAAUCACUGGGCGUAAAGAGCGCGUAGGCGGGAUAGCAAGUCAGAUGUGAAAUCCUAUGGCUUAACCAUAGAACUGCAUUUGAAACUGUUAUUCUAGAGUAUGGGAGAGGUAGGUGGAAUUCUUGGUGUAGGGGUAAAAUCCGUAGAGAUCAAGAGGAAUACUCAUUGCGAAGGCGACCUGCUAGAACCUAACUGACGCUGAUGCGCGAAAGCGUGGGGAGCAAACAGGAUUAGAUACCCCUGUAGUC
This 440-nucleotide ribosomal RNA is filed under the name uncultured bacterium. RNAcentral describes it as "partial 16S ribosomal RNA". It matches the Rfam family "Bacterial small subunit ribosomal RNA", at positions 338 to 795 of the family's 1533-position model. The record is from RNAcentral.